Molecule: ribosomal RNA, 500 nt
Filed under: swine fecal bacterium FPC70
Lineage: Bacteria
Description: bacterial SSU rRNA
Rfam family: Bacterial small subunit ribosomal RNA
Source: RNAcentral
GAGAGUUUGAUUCUGGCUCAGGAUGAACGCUGGCGGCGUGCUUAACACAUGCAAGUCGAACGGGAAUUACUUUAUUGAAACUUCGGUCGAUUUAAUUUAAUUCUAGUGGCGGACGGGUGAGUAACGCGUGGGUAACCUGCCUUAUACAGGGGGAUAACAGUCAGAAAUGACUGCUAAUACCGCAUAAGCGCACGGAACCGCAUGGUUCUGUGUGAAAAACUCCGGUGGUAUAAGAUGGACCCGCGUUGGAUUAGCUUGUUGGUGAGGUAACGGCUCACCAAGGCGACGAUCCAUAGCCGGCCUGAGAGGGUGAACGGCCACAUUGGGACUGAGACACGGCCCAGACUCUUACGGGAGGCAGCAGUGGGGAAUAUUGCACAAUGGGGGAAACCCUGAUGCAGCGACGCCGCGUGAAGGAAGAAGUAUCUCGGUAUGUAAACUUCUAUCAGCAGGGAAGAUAGUGACGGUACCUGACUAAGAAGCCCCGGCUAACUACGUGC